RNAcentral lists this ribosomal RNA (429 nucleotides) under Verrucomicrobiota bacterium. RNAcentral describes it as "Verrucomicrobia bacterium partial 16S ribosomal RNA". It matches the Rfam family "Bacterial small subunit ribosomal RNA", at positions 355 to 776 of the family's 1533-position model. Lineage: Bacteria; Pseudomonadati; Verrucomicrobiota. The record is from RNAcentral.
UAGGGAAUCUUCCGCAAUGGACGAAAGUCUGACGGAGCAACGCCGCGUGAGUGAAGAAGGAUUUCGGUUCGUAAAACUCUGUUGUUAGGGAAGAAAAAAUGUAUAGUAACUAUAUACAAAAGAUACGGUACCUAACCAGAAAGCCACGGCUAACUACGUGCCAGCAGCCGCGGUAAUACGUAGGUGGCAAGCGUUGUCCGGAAUUAUUGGGCGUAAAGCGCGCGCAGGUGGUUUAGAAAGUCUGAUGUGAAAGCCCACGGCUCAACCGUGGAGGGUCAUUGGAAACUAAUAAACUUGAGUGCAGGAGAGAAAAGUGGAAUUCCUAGUGUAGCGGUGAAAUGCGUAGAGAUUAGGAGGAACACCGGUGGCGAAAGCGGCUUUUUGGCCUGCAACUGACACUGAGGCGCGAAAGCGUGGGGAGCAAACAGG